AUUUAUAUAGUUUAAACAAAACAUUACAUUUUCACUGUAAAAAUAAAAAUUUACUUUUUUAUAAAUA
RNAcentral lists this transfer RNA (67 nucleotides) under Amphinemura sp. FS-2017. RNAcentral's name for it is "tRNA-Glu". It matches the Rfam family "tRNA". Rfam says of the family: Transfer RNA (tRNA) molecules are approximately 80 nucleotides in length. RNAcentral also lists the same sequence under 1 other name. Lineage: Eukaryota; Metazoa; Arthropoda; Insecta; Plecoptera; Nemouridae. The record is from RNAcentral.